Molecule: ribosomal RNA, 427 nt
Filed under: uncultured prokaryote
Description: bacterial SSU rRNA
Rfam family: Bacterial small subunit ribosomal RNA
Source: RNAcentral
UGGGGAAUUUUCCGCAAUGGGCGAAAGCCUGACGGAGCAAUACCGCGUGAGGGAGGAAGGCUUUUGGGUUGUAAACCUCUUUUCUUAGGGAAGAAGAAAGUGACGGUACCUAAGGAAUCAGCAUCGGCUAACUCCGUGCCAGCAGCCGCGGUAAUACGGAGGAUGCAAGCGUUAUCCGGAAUGAUUGGGCGUAAAGCGUCCGCAGGUGGUUGUGCAAGUCUACUGUUAAAGAGUGAAGCUUAACUUCAUAAUGGCGGUGGAAACUGCAUAACUAGAGUGCGUUCGGGGCAGAGGGAAUUCCUGGUGUAGCGGUGAAAUGCGUAGAUAUCAGGAAGAACACCGGUGGCGAAAGCGCUCUGCUAGGCCGCAACUGACACUGAGGGACGAAAGCUAAGGGAGCGAAUGGGAUUAGAUACCCCCGUAGUCC